Molecule: ribosomal RNA, 423 nt
Filed under: Leptoneta infuscata
Lineage: Eukaryota; Metazoa; Arthropoda; Arachnida; Araneae; Leptonetidae
Description: partial 16S ribosomal RNA
Rfam family: Bacterial large subunit ribosomal RNA
Source: RNAcentral
UUUUUAUAGAACUAAUUAUAAAUAAAACCUGCUCAAUGAAUUAUUCAAUAGCCGCAGAAUUUUUACUGUGCUAAGGUAGCAUAAUCACUUGUCUUUUAAUUAAGGACUAGAAUGAAAGGUUAAACGAACAAUAAAUUUUCAACACUACACAUAUUUAAAUUAUACUUAGUAUAAAAAUAUACUAAUACAUUAAAAAGACGACAAGACCCUGCUGAACUUAACUGAAGUUAUACUGGGGCAGUAAUUAAACAAUAUUUUUAAAAAAAUAAAUACUAAAUCUAUUCAAGUUACCACAGGGAUAACAGCGCAAUUUAUUUUUCAAGCUCUUAUACAAAAAUAAGAUUACGACCUCGAUGUUGAAUAAUUUAACUACAAGAUGAAAAAAUCUACUUAGUGAGUCUGUUCGACUUUUAAACAAUUACA